UCGUGACCUGGUAACAGUGUGAAAUUGUCGGAAACUUCGUUAAAGUUUUACAAGAUUCAAAAAUAGUUUCUCAUAUAAUGAACGAUAUAAUAUUUGUGCCAAUUGUUACUCAAUAUUGUGACCUAUUGCCCCUUCCUCCACCAGAUCCGUGUCUCCACCGGUCAAUUUAUCUGAUCUAUCAGUACUCAUCAAUUACUAUGAGACCUUGUUCGUGACUCGGGAAUAGUGUGAAAUUCUCAGGAACUUCAGUAAAGUUUACCAGAUUCGCCUUCAUGUACUCAAAUUCAGUGUGACUUUAUCAAAACCUUCUUCAAAAUCUUCUUAGAAUAAACAAU
Molecule: long non-coding RNA, 335 nt
Organism: Folsomia candida
Lineage: Eukaryota; Metazoa; Arthropoda; Collembola; Entomobryomorpha; Isotomidae
Exons: 4
Source: RefSeq, a predicted model, not a curated record